Molecule: ribosomal RNA, 577 nt
Filed under: uncultured bacterium
Lineage: Bacteria
Description: bacterial SSU rRNA
Rfam family: Bacterial small subunit ribosomal RNA
Source: RNAcentral
CCUACGGGAGGCAGCAGUAAGGAAUAUUGGUCAAUGGACGAAAGUCUGAACCAGCCAUGCCGCGUGAAGGAUGACGGCCCUCUGGGUUGUAAACUUCUUUUAUCUGGGACGAAAAAAGGGAAUUCUUUCUCACUUGACGGUACCAGAGGAAUAAGCACCGGCUAACUCCGUGCCAGCAGCCGCGGUAAUACGGAGGGUGCAAGCGUUAUCCGGAUUCACUGGGUUUAAAGGGAGCGUAGGUGGGCAGGUAAGUCAGUGGUGAAAUCUCCGGGCUUAACCCGGAAACUGCCAUUGAUACUAUUUGUCUUGAAUUAUCUGGAGGUAAGCGGAAUAUGUCAUGUAGCGGUGAAAUGCUUAGAUAUGACAUAGAACACCCAUUGCGAAGGCAGCUUACUACGGAUAUAUUGACACUGAGGCUCGAAAGCGUGGGGAUCAAACAGGAUUAGAUACCCUGGUAGUCCACGCCCUAAACGAUGGAUACUCGACAUCAGCGAUACACUGUUGGUGUCUGAGCGAAAGCAUUAAGUAUCCCACCUGGAAGUACGACCGCAAGGUUGAAACUCAAAGGAAUUGACGG